Molecule: unclassified non-coding RNA, 2164 nt
Filed under: Bombyx mandarina (wild silkworm)
Lineage: Eukaryota; Metazoa; Arthropoda; Insecta; Lepidoptera; Bombycidae
Description: uncharacterized LOC114248169, transcript variant X3
Source: RNAcentral
GCCUCGUGCGAACGUUCCGUGAUCUCAGCUCCGCCGUUUGUCGAUCGCGAUAACCGGUUCGGUCGUCCUAUCAUUAGGCGUCCUUAGAACUAUACUAAUUGUUUAGUGCCGUUCUCACUCUUGAAAAACUUCCACACUUUGGACACAGUGAUUUAAAUACUUUUUUUAAUUAAGAUUGGUGUUUUAAAAAACUUUUGUGAAGUGUUGUUAUAUUUGUCGUAAAUUCUAAUUAAAUGUAAUAAACAAUUGUCAGUGAAUAAUUAUUACCUGUGAAACUUUACUGUGUUUUUAAGCGUAAGUUCAAUUUGCGUGAAGUUUUGAAGUUCGUAAUAAAGUUCUGUGAGUAAUUUGGUAAAGUGAAAACCCAAACUAAUUCCUUUGAACUUUGCACCGUGAAAGCUCUACUAUUCCACAACAGAUCCGAGGAACUCGACGAAGUGCACUCGAAAAUAGACAUAUUCUGCAAGUCAUCUCACUCCAACAAAUAUUUCAAACAAAAUAACGCAACGUAACAUGUCAUAAGGUACAUAUUGGUGAUGAGAGGAUGAGCCAUGGAAUCACGCAGCGCGCCGCCGAGCCCCGAGGAUCCCGGGGAGGCGGUGUUCGACACUCGAUGCGGUCGAUACCCGCACCAGCCAUCCCUGCAAAGAAACUUCGCCAGCUGUCGCGAAACGACGCGUCCACGUCCCCUCCAUCGCCAUGCUGCAUCUGAACCUGCACGGCCUGAUGAUCACGUCCUAACUACUGCCGAGGUUCACGACUAUCCCUCUUCUGAAUCAGGCAUAGCGGCAGACUGCCCUCAUCCACACACGAGUAACGCAGAAGACAGUCCUUCAUACGACAGAUCAGAUUACGAAGGGAACUGUAACUAUACUCUCAGGCGUACACCUGAUUAUCAUCAUACACUCGACUGUAAACAUAGGACCCUAGAUUAUAAUCGAAGUCGAACUCCUGAUUACAGUCAUGGACAUAUUAACGAUUUUGACCGGGGUCAUAGUAAAACACAACAGCCUCGUCGAACGCAUAGGAAGCACAGACGAGAAGAAGACGACGGUGCUCAUUCUUUGGAUGAACGAUGCGCACGCGACCUUGACGAAAUCUUACCGGCCAGACUUGCAGCAGUUAACUUGUCAAGAGAACCGCCACCGCAGACGUGGGAUCGCAGCAACAUCACCGCUACUAUGGAGCGAUUUGAGCCGAUUGAUUAUUCAUAUGCUUACUACGACCACCAUUUAUCGAUGCCGUCGUCUUCAAGAAAAGCAAAUCGACAACGAGGACGUGGUGCAGUUCCACGGGAGCGAACCUCUCGUCACAAUUAUGUCACAAGAUAUGGAACGGAAGAAAAUAUCUACGAAGAAAUUACUGAUGGUACGAGAACUUGCCCAAAACAUCGCUACGUUCCUAGGCAGUCGCUAGUAUCGCUGGACAGAAGCGUGGUUGAAGAAGAGGUCCGCCGCGUAGAGUCAAGGCAUAAGCGAAUUUUAGGCGAACUGAAUCUAAGUGUCGAAGCCAUGCUGAUGCCUGAGUGUGAAUCGCCUGACUCAGAACGUGCAGAAGAUAGAGACAAUAUUGAAGAAUUACUAAGAGUGGGCCCAACGGAUGAGCUACUAUCACCGGCCAGUUGUAAUCCUCCGGAUUUAGAUAGCGGUUUUAGUGGGAGUAGUAGCGGUGCAAGCUAUGUGGGCAGCCUUCGUCGUAAGCCAACAGGCUCGGUACCGCAUUUACCUGCUGUGGCAUACGGGACACGCACUGCAGGUGUGAAGAUACUGAGUGCCGAAGAAUGUGGUGUACGAUUUCCAAGGGAUUCGCAAUCUCCUAGGAGCUCAAGUUGUGGGGAUGCAAAAGCCAGUGGAUUUUGGAAUAAAAAAUCCUGGAAGAAAAUAUCUGGGUUCUCCAGCUCGAAUAGCAUUAACAAAGCAGGCCUCACGGGUCUGCUCGUUAGGUACACUUUCCGGCGUAAGUCCGGCUCGCAGGGCUCACAGGGCAGGCGGCGGACCGAGCCCGUCAAAUGCGAUGCGUGCCUCUCACAACGAUGUUAGCCGCACUAUCGAUGAAGCGUGUAGGCCAAGCAGACCUAAAUCCAGAACAGCCACUAUCCCGUACAGCUACUCCAACGGAAAACUGGUGGUGCCGCUGGAUUCCGUAGCACAGAGCUGAGGGGACU